This 1242-nucleotide long non-coding RNA is filed under the name Nicotiana benthamiana. RNAcentral describes it as "long non-coding RNA (NBEN_LNC016910)". Lineage: Eukaryota; Viridiplantae; Streptophyta; Magnoliopsida; Solanales; Solanaceae. The record is from RNAcentral.
ACUCAAUUAUCACUAAGCAGGAUUAGCUCAAAUACACCUACCCCCUAAUCUCCUUCACUGUCGUGACCGUAUCCAUGAGCUAAAUGGAGUAUACAUUCUGAUUUACACUUAAUUCAAAGGGUCUUAAUUUCUGGGAAUUAUGUAUUCAUUUUUCAAAGAAGAAAAACAAAGAUAUUAGAACAGAGCAUGCAAAGUAAAUAGCAGCAGGUUCUGUUGCAUCUUACAACAUUAGUAACUCAACAUUAAUAACUAACAUAAUCUACCUAUAGAAACAUUUCAACAUAGAAAUUAUAAUAGACGCCACAACAUCCGCGUCUGAAUGAGGAUCCAAACAAUAGCAACCAAUUAGGUGAAGCAACCGAAAUUUCAUGUUCAACCGGAUACAAAGAUUACAAACAUAAGAAAACAUACCUGAUUCGAACCGAAACUGCCACGAAUUGAAUUGUUGACUUUGAUUAAUAAGAAUUCCAAUAGUUACAAAGGCGUCAAUAAACCACAGCCCAUCCAAAACAGCAAUAAGAAUCGUCUGAAGCUGUGAACCACCAUUCCGAACCUCGACGAGCAAUGACAACCCACUACCUCGAACCAAACCUCAAAAAACCUGUCGAAACUGUGACAAAACUCAACAAUAGACUUGUUGCAAACUCAGACCACUCCAACAAACUCCAUUUGGAAGAGCGAAAAUUUGUACCUGGAAAAAGCGAAACAACAAAUCUUUAUGUGUUCUGUUUUUUAUGCUUUGUGAGUUUGGUUUUGAAUGUUAAAAUAGUAGAAGAAACUGAUUUUGCUUGGAGCCUAAGACAGAAAGGAGAUGGGAGUUGUUGCUUCCUCUAUUUCCGGCAUCUCCCUCUUAGGUGUUCUCUUUUUCAUCUUCUCACUUCAUGGACCGCCAAUCAUGGUGGUUACUGGACUUCCGGCCAGAUUUGUCACCUGCGAGCCUCAAGGGAAACGUGAAAUGGGCUAGCGAUUGCUCUCAAAUGAAAGGGAGAGGGCGCUGAUGUCCAGGAGAGGAUCAAGACUCUGAUUUUCACAAAAUGAAAUGAGAUAUGGGUGUGCUCUCUGUUUUCCAGGUGUGUGUUUUUGUGAAGGAGCAGCCAAAGCUGCGCAACUUCUUCAAUUUUCCAGCGUCUCUGCCUGUGUUUUUUCGUGUAUCUAUAUGUGUAUUAUGUGUGUGUUUUUUUGUGAAGCAGCCUCCAGCCCCUCAAUUUUCAGCCCCUCUCUUGUCCCAGGCGUCUCUGCCUA